GGUGUAGAUGAGGCUGGGUGUAGUCAGGCUAUAGAUGGUGGUGUAGAUGAGGCUGGGUGUAGGCAUGUUAUAGAUGGUGGUGUAGAUGAGGCUGGGUGUAGUCAGGCUAUAGAUGGUGGUGUAGAUGAGGCUGGGUGUAGUCAUGUUAUAGAUGGUGGUGUAGAUGAGGCUGGGUCUAGUCAUGUUAUAGAUGAUGGUGUAGGUGAGGUUGUGUCUAGUCAGGCUAUAGAUGGGGGUGUAGAUGAGGCUGUGUCUAGUCAGGUUAUAGAUGGUGGUGUAGAUGAGGCUGUGUCUAGUCAGGUUAUAGAUGGUGGUGUAGAUGAGGCUGGGUGUAGUCAUGUUAUAGAUGGUGGUGUAGAUGAGGCUGGGUCUAGUCAUGUUACUUCCGGUGCCGACAGAGAUGGCCGCCUCGC
Oncorhynchus tshawytscha (Chinook salmon) is the source of this 413-nucleotide long non-coding RNA. The record is from Ensembl. Lineage: Eukaryota; Metazoa; Chordata; Actinopteri; Salmoniformes; Salmonidae.